UCAGUCGUAAAAAAACUGCAUGGCAGCCUAGAGGAAGGUAAUCCUGGCCAGCUGUUUCCAUCUGAAGCCAACCACAUCAGUAGCACAGCUAGCACUAACAUGCAUCAAUUAAGAAGAGACUCGAGAAGCUGUAAAGAGGAAUUCUGAUACUAAGUGAAACCUCAGUCAGAACUUAAUGUAAAAUAAAAUGAACCAAGAAAAAUAUGAUCUUUGUGAGCAAAACACUGUUGCUAUGUUGAACCAUUCUAAGAUCACAUUAGCUAAUAUUACUUCAAGCAGCUUUCAGUGGCAAUACCAAAAGUGUGACAAUGAAAGAAAAACAGAAAACAACGCCCAGAGUUUAACACUUGCAUGCCAAGAAGUCCUUCCACUCAAGCCAAAAGGAGAUGUGUGCCCAUCACAUUAAUAUCCAAACAUCUAGCUCUGCCUCAUUUGCCUGUUCCAAGGGUUACAUUGUCAUCUCUGGAAAAUGGCUUGGAUUUAAGUACUAAAUAUUAUUCAUAUAUAUCUUUAUAAUCAAUGGAAACAUAUACAGUGGUCCUGCUUUGUAAUAUUUUCCCAGCAGAUGUUUCUUUGGAUUCUUCAUUAUCCAUUUGUCAGCAACUUUGUACUCAUCUCAAAUGCCAGCAGGAGUGGAGAACAGUCCACCUUCCAUACAAAUACUCCCAGGCUUCAUUUUUCCCUCUUUGGAGCCAUGACGUGAUAAAGAAGGUCCUUCCAUGCUCUACUUCUGUUUACAGGAGGCACAAGGCAAUUGAUUCUUCCCAGAAACAAAUAUUAACACUCUUUGGGAAUUUACCAGCAAGCGCAUUUUAUGACUAAAUAGAGCAGCACCCUGUUGGAUCUUCUCUGUGCAGUUAUAACAUGCUGUCCUAGUGCUAUACAUAGAAUCUAGCCAGAUUUAACAAUACAAUAAGAAGAAACAGGAAUGCAGUGAUCCAACAUAGUGCAGCUGUGCCAAGCUAGCUCUAGAGCAGUAAUAUUCAGUCUCUAGCUCCUUAGCCACAAGAGGCUCGUCAACUUGUCACCUGCAGCUUUUGGCACAAAGUGUUGUCAAAGCAUAUUCUUUUGUACUGUGUGCAGUGGAUACGCCUUUCCUAGUCAUGAAUAAUGCAACAUAUGCACUGUCUGUCUCUAUCUUGUACCAACAUUUUUGUUUUGGAACAGGUAGUUCUUGGCCACAGUUCAAAUACAGGUGUAGA
Molecule: long non-coding RNA, 1202 nt
Organism: Gavialis gangeticus (Gharial)
Lineage: Eukaryota; Metazoa; Chordata; Crocodylia; Gavialidae
Exons: 3
Source: RefSeq, a predicted model, not a curated record